RNAcentral lists this transfer RNA (68 nucleotides) under Pyrops spinolae. RNAcentral describes it as "tRNA-Thr". Lineage: Eukaryota; Metazoa; Arthropoda; Insecta; Hemiptera; Fulgoridae. The record is from RNAcentral.
GCCCAAGAUAGUUUAAAAAAAACAAUGGUCUUGUAAACCGUAAUUUAAAAUUAAUUAUUAUCUGGGUU